GACGAACGCUGGCGGCGUGCUUAACACAUGCCAGUCGAACGGAAAGGCCCUGCUUUUGUUGGGUGCUCGAGUGGCGAACGGGUGAGUAACACGUGAGUAACCUGCCCUUGACUUUGGGAUAACUUCAGGAAACUGGGGCUAAUACCGGAUAGGAGCUCCUGCUGCAUGGUGGGGGUUGGAAAGUUUCGGCGGUUGGGGAUGGACUCGCGGCUUAUCAGCUUGUUGGUGGGGUAGUGGCUUACCAAGGCUUUGACGGGUAGCCGGCCUGAGAGGGUGACCGGCGACAUUGGGACUGAGAUACGGCGCAGACUGCUACGGGAGGCAGCAGUGGGGAAUAUUGCACAAUGGGCGGAAGCCUGAUGCAGCAACGCCGCGUGCGGGAUGACGGCCUUCGGGUUGUAAACCGCUGUCGCCUGUGACGAAGCGUGAGUGACGGUAAUGGGUAAAGAAGCACCGGCUAACUACGUG
RNAcentral lists this ribosomal RNA (468 nucleotides) under uncultured bacterium. Its description in RNAcentral is "partial 16S ribosomal RNA". It matches the Rfam family "Bacterial small subunit ribosomal RNA", at positions 28 to 507 of the family's 1533-position model. The record is from RNAcentral.